This 203-nucleotide long non-coding RNA is filed under the name Salvia miltiorrhiza (redroot sage). Its description in RNAcentral is "long non-coding RNA (SMIL_LNC012893)". The record is from RNAcentral. Lineage: Eukaryota; Viridiplantae; Streptophyta; Magnoliopsida; Lamiales; Lamiaceae.
CUAUUUUAGGCUCAAAGUGGUGUCCAGAGCUGACGGCGCAUACUCUGUUGCCUCGCCAGAGCUGAAGUCCAUUCGUUAGAGUGGAUUUCUUGUGCCAGAGCCAGAGCCGAGCUCCAGAACUGACCAAUCUCGACAGAGCGGACUUUCCAGACUUCCAUGGCCAGAGCUGACAUUCAUGUGUGCAGAGCUAAAUCUACAGAGCU